Molecule: unclassified non-coding RNA, 380 nt
Filed under: uncultured bacterium
Lineage: Bacteria
Description: contains 16S-23S intergenic spacer region
Source: RNAcentral
UCCGGCUUAUCACCGGCAGUCCCUUUAGAGUGCCCAACUAAAUGCUGGCAACUAAAGACAGGGGUUGCGCUCGUUGCGGCACUUAACCCAACACCUCACGGCACGAGCUGACGACAGCCAUGCACUACCUGCGCAGAAGUCCCUUGCGGGAGGUUCUGGCUUUCACCAAAAUUUCCUCUGCAUGUCAAACCCAGGUAAGGUUCUUCGCGUUGCCUCGAAUUAAACCACACGCUCCGCUGCUUGUGCGGGCCCCCGUCAAUUCCUUUGAGUUUCAGCCUUGCGGCCGUACUCCCCAGGCGGGGCACUUAAUGCGUUAGCGCCGACACUCAAGGGGUCGCUCCCCCAAGCAUCUAGUGCCCAUCGUUUACGGCGUGGACUAC